UGUGUAUUCCUGAUGCUCAUUC
RNAcentral lists this microRNA (22 nucleotides) under Heligmosomoides polygyrus. Its description in RNAcentral is "hpo-miR-10131-5p". The record is from miRBase by way of RNAcentral. Lineage: Eukaryota; Metazoa; Nematoda; Chromadorea; Rhabditida; Heligmosomidae.